Molecule: ribosomal RNA, 886 nt
Filed under: Streptomyces qinglanensis
Lineage: Bacteria; Bacillati; Actinomycetota; Actinomycetes; Kitasatosporales; Streptomycetaceae
Description: bacterial SSU rRNA
Rfam family: Bacterial small subunit ribosomal RNA
Source: RNAcentral
CUGUGUUGUCGGUCGGCGGGGAUAGUGGCGACGGGUGAGUAACACGUGGGCAAUCUGCCCUGCACUCUGGGACAAGCCCUGGAAACGGGGUCUAAUACCGGAUAUGACCACCGGCCGCAUGGUCUGGUGGUGGAAAGCUCCGGCGGUGCAGGAUGAGCCCGCGGCCUAUCAGCUUGUUGGUGGGGUGAUGGCCUACCAAGGCGACGACGGGUAGCCGGCCUGAGAGGGCGACCGGCCACACUGGGACUGAGACACGGCCCAGACUCCUACGGGAGGCAGCAGUGGGGAAUAUUGCACAAUGGGCGCAAGCCUGAUGCAGCGACGCCGCGUGAGGGAUGACGGCCUUCGGGUUGUAAACCUCUUUCAGCAGGGAAGAAGCGCAAGUGACGGUACCUGCAGAAGAAGCACCGGCUAACUACGUGCCAGCAGCCGCGGUAAUACGUAGGGUGCGAGCGUUGUCCGGAAUUAUUGGGCGUAAAGAGCUCGUAGGCGGCCUGUCGCGUCGGAUGUGAAAGCCCGGGGCUUAACCCCGGGUCUGCAUUCGAUACGGGCAGGCUAGAGUUCGGCAGGGGAGAUUGGAAUUCCUGGUGUAGCGGUGAAAUGCGCAGAUAUCAGGAGGAACACCGGUGGCGAAGGCGGAUCUCUGGGCCGAUACUGACGCUGAGGAGCGAAAGCGUGGGGAGCGAACAGGAUUAGAUACCCUGGGUAGUCCACGCCGUAAACGUUGGGCACUAGGUGUGGGGCGGCAUUCCACGUCGUCCGUGCCGCAGCUAACGCAUUAAGUGCCCCGCCUGGGGAGUACGGCCGCAAGGCUAAAACUUCAGGGGAAUUUGACCGGGGGCCUCGCACCAGGCGGCGGAUCCAUGUGUGGCUUAAUUCGGACGGC